CCACAGCUUUGAAGUUGUCAGCCAGUGACCACUGUUGCCCGGUCUCACGAGGGAAUCGCGUGCAAGCAGGCAGCCAGAGUCAGAGUGGAGUCAGCAGUAAAGACGCUGAGUCAAGCAGGCCAGAGCAGCCAAGCUUCCGAGCUUCGCUCCCACUACAGAGGGCCAUCCCAUUCGGCAGAGCACCCCUCAGAGGCAGUUGGAGGCUGUGGGGCUCAAGACGACAACAUGGGGAGACCAGCUGAAGCUCUGCUACACCCACUCCAAUUGACUGACUGGGAAAGCGUCAACAAGGCCAGCACCUCUGGCAGGAGCUACAGCCUUCGGCUUUUCCCAAGGAGCUUUUCAGGUUUACAGAAGUGUCGCCCAGAGCAUACAGAGAAAUCCCAGGAUUCUCCUGGUGCUGGUUUUCACACACACCGCCAUCUUGCCUUGGUGCUGCGGACGGCUGCACUGGAUGAUAGGCAGGGCUCAGGGUCUACUCCAGGCUCCGUCUUCAGGAGUCUGCUGGGGACUUCCCAAGACCUACAAGGUGCUCUGUGAGACGCCUCAGAAACCCUGCUGCUGUCUGAAGGGUUCAUGAGGCAACUUGAAGUCUGUGUUGAGCCCCCUCCCCUUGUCUUGUU
This 623-nucleotide long non-coding RNA is filed under the name Cricetulus griseus (Chinese hamster). RNAcentral's name for it is "lncRNA (ENSCGRG00015038732.1)". Lineage: Eukaryota; Metazoa; Chordata; Mammalia; Rodentia; Cricetidae. The record is from RNAcentral.